RNAcentral lists this long non-coding RNA (2623 nucleotides) under Mytilus galloprovincialis (Mediterranean mussel). Lineage: Eukaryota; Metazoa; Mollusca; Bivalvia; Mytilida; Mytilidae. The record is from RNAcentral.
UUUUUUUUUUUUUUUUAAUAUUAAACAUAUUUUAUUAACAAUCACCUGUUACAUCAACCCUCAGUUGCCCAGGGAAGCAACUAAGGGGCCCCCAAUUUUUACAGUCUCAUUUGUCGGGGAAAAGCAAAUGAGAAAAAAACUCCCACUAUAAAUUAUUAACAUCAACCUUUAUAAAUAUUAUCUAUCCUUGUACAAAUGUACAUGUACCUGCAAUCAAUAUCGAUCUAUAUAUCUAUACAUCUCACCAUAUAUAAUUAUUUCAAUAAAGUUUGUUUUUUAUCUUCAUUUAUUUCUCACAAAGGCUACCUGUAUUUAUUAAGCAGUUUCAAUUUUAUCGUACAUCAAGUCUUUUGUUAUGUUAAUUUCGAUUACAUUAAAUUUCUGGUCGAGUGAUCAUUUACCACGUGCGAUUUGUUAAAGGGAUGUGUAGUUCAUUCAUAAAAAAAAUGGAUUAAUGAUUUUGAUUCCCAAUAAGGAUUAAUAUCAAAGAUAUGGUGAGUAAAUAUUUGUUUAUAAUAUGAACCUGUUGAUACAACAUGUCUUGUUACAAUUAGAUGAUAUACAUGAAUAUAUACACAACAGAAAUUACAUGUAGGGAGUUGCGAGCAGUGUACAUAUUAUUAUUCAAUCAGUAUCAAAGAGGUCAUUGAACUGACCUGACCAUGCAAAAUAUAUAUUUAUAUACAAAAAAUGUCACACAUAGUAGAAAAGGCUUCGAUUUUCGUAUUCGGUUUAAAAUAUUUGAGCAGAAAUUGCAUUUCAUGUUUUAUCAUAUUUAAAAUCACCAAUUUACUUAUCCCUUUCUUUUGAUAUUUUGCGAUAUUUCUAGUUUUCCAGAUAACCCAUUUCGUGAUUAAAAGCACCGUAUCUAAAAUUUGGGUAUAAGAUGCAUCUGCAUUAAUGACCCCAAAAAUUAUACUUGUUUCCGAUUUUUGUAAUUUUUGGAUAUUUAAUUUUGAACAAAAUUCCCUUAUUUUCUCAAAAAUUUCCCGCCAAACGUCUUCCACCAGUUUACAAUAAAUAAAAAGAUGAAAUAGUGAUUCUUUUUCAUUGCAAAAGUGACACUUCCCGUUUGAGCGAUUCAUUUUUUGUAACUUUUCUUCAGUGUAAAUUAUAUUAUGUAGUAACUUCCAUUGAAAUUGUUUAAUUUUCCUGUUAGCUAAAUUCUUAUUCAAAGUUUCCCAAAUGUAAUCCCAUGGUAGUUCAUUCCCAAAAUGUAAAUUCCACUUCAACUGACUAUUUGGAGCUGUUUUAUUCUCAUAAAAGUAUCUAAUAUCUUUAAGGCAUAAUUUUUUGGCAUCAACGACAACUCCAUUUUUUAUAAAUUGACAAGAAUUUAUUAUUUUUAUAGGUCCAUCAGAAUGACUAUGUAUACUAGAGUCUGUUUUUAAAACGUCAAUUUGUUGAGGUGUUAACGAAGAUUUAAUGCGGCUAUAUUGUGCAAUCCAAUUCCUUUUAUCUUUAAGACUGUUAAAAAUAUCAAGGGAUGUUUUAAAGGAUUUAUUGUUUAAGUCCCAUAUAUCUUUAAUUUUUUUUUAUUCCACUGGAGGCAAAAUUUGCAUAAUAUAAUGCAUGUCCCUUGAACUUCAAUUUACAAUUGCCGAAAAUAUUUUCUUCUAAAAGGUCCUCUUUCGUGACCGAUUUUUGGAUUUUCUGUAAGUCAGUCCAGGAAAUUAAAAGUUCUUUAUAAUAUUUGGACAUUUGUAUUUGCUUAAAACAUGUAGUGUCCGAACAAGAACAUAUAAAAAAGUCUGUAUCAUAUUUUUCGUCUAGUGACGUUAACCAGUAUUUUCCUAUUGCAUUCCAUUUUUGUGUUUUUGAGUUGACAAUACUGUACAUACUUUUCACUUGUUUUGAUUUAAUAAAGUCCCUUAAGUUUAUCAUUCCUAUCCCCCUUUUUCUUUCGGUAAACAGCACACUGUUCUAGCGACUUGGUUUGUUUUCCCAUCCCAUAUAAAGGACCAUAUAAUAUUAUUUAUUUGUUUUUCGUAUAUAUCCGGGAUACCUCUCAUUUCAAUUUCGUAUCCAAUGACGGACAGUACAAAGGAUUUAAUAAUUAAGACUUUUCCCGUAAAUGUGAGAUCUCUUGAUUUCCAAACUUCCAUACAGCUUUUUAUUUUAUUUAUUUUUUCUAACCAAAUUUGAUCUAAGUCCACCCCGUAUCCAUGUAGUACCCCUAAUGCUUUCACAGGACGCUUAGACCAUUUAAUUUUGUUAAAUUUUGGUUUUUUAUUUCGCCACUUGCCUAAAUACAUGCCAACAGUCUUAUCCAUAUUCAUUUUAGCCCCCGAAGCAUUUUCGUACAGUUUUAAAGUUUUAAAUGUUUCUUCGAUAGACUCCUCGCUUUUAUUAAAGAGUUGAGUAUCGUCAGCAAACAUAUUUAGCUUUGUUUCAAUAAAGUCCCCAGUUCUAGUAGGAAGUUUUAUUCCUUUUAUAUUAGGAUUGUUUCUAAUUGAUGCUGCAAGUGGUUCUGCUUGCAGGAUAUAUAACAUCGGGGCUAUUGGGCAUCCUUGACGAAUUGAACGGGUUAUGCCUACGAAUCUAGAAGUAAACCCAUUCGUAUGAAUGCACGUCUUAGCGUUAAUGAAAAGCAUUUUUACCCAACUCCUGAAUUUUUCCCCAA